Vicia villosa (hairy vetch) is the source of this 377-nucleotide long non-coding RNA. RefSeq lists it as uncharacterized. The record is from RefSeq and is a predicted model, not a curated record. The transcript has 2 exons. NCBI's taxonomy places the organism in Eukaryota, Viridiplantae, Streptophyta, Magnoliopsida, Fabales, Fabaceae.
UUUAGCAUUCAUUUCAAUAUUUUAAAUGUCUUUUUGCAGCACCGUAGUGGUAAAAACUAUUUAUUUAUUAACAAAGAACUAAGUUACUACUUAUAAACAGGAAAAAGUUAUAUUUGUUAUAUGCAAAGAAGAAGAAAAUAUGGCUAAAGUUCUCAUAUUUAUGUACGCAUUGCUCAUCUUUAUUUUUGUAUUUCUUGUUGAAACAAGCAAAGCAACAAUCAAUCCCUGCAAAUCUGUCGAUGAUUGUCCAUUGGUUAUAGAACAUAUUGCACAUUGUAUUAAUGGUAUUUGUGAAUAUUGCCAUUUGUUUCUGCAAUAAAAAAAAAAAAAAGGGUUAACAAAAAAAGGGUUACAUAAAUAAAUGAUUUUUUCUUAAA